This is a long non-coding RNA of Rosa rugosa (rugosa rose), 1092 nucleotides long. RefSeq lists it as uncharacterized. The transcript is spliced from 3 exons. Lineage: Eukaryota; Viridiplantae; Streptophyta; Magnoliopsida; Rosales; Rosaceae. The record is from RefSeq and is a predicted model, not a curated record.
CAGCUCCUGUGCUUAUAAGCAAAGCUGAAUUUGGUUUUUGGUAAACUCUGUAACAACCUGCUUCUAUUGGAAGCCCUGGCUUUUUGAGAGGAAAAGUGGAAGCCUGCUUCUGGCUUCCAAAAGCCGUGUGGCUACUGUAGCGUGAAUUAAUGUACUUUUCGAAAUACCAAUGGGUACCCUCAUGAAUUUGGUGUAAUUACACGACCCAACCUCCACCCCUACCGAAGAGACGCCUCUUCUCUUCCUCAACUCUCUGUCUUCUCCGUCAACUCUCUCUCUCGGUGCUCUUAAGAUGUCGUUCCUCCAUCUUCGCUCUCCCCAAUGGUCACCUCGAGUUCGGUGAAUAUCCAAAUGGCCUUAAUUUGAAUAGGAGCAAAGCAGCUUCAUCCAGUGCAUACGAUUCUGUAGUUUCUCGUGAUGUCAAACAUAUAUGUCCAUGAUGGGGCACUUGGUUCAUCACUCAAAGCUGGUGCAAAAGUUCGCGUUAUAAGUGAUAGCCCAUCUGCUGUAUUGUCACUUUCCAGCAUUCUCAGGGGGACUCCCACCCGUGUAGUCUCUCGUGAUUCUCGUCCUUUAACAGUUUAUAUGGCUACUUCUAUAAGUUGCUAGUGGGAAGGAUUUGGAAGAAACAGGGAGUCAGGAUGAUGAGCUUUUGGAUCUCAGUUAAGAUGAUUUUUUUCUAAGUGGAAGCUCUAGUGAUGAAGCAAAUGAAUGGAUAGAUAAGAGUACAAGGGAACAGGCUUCUAGUACUUCUAAGAAAGCAGCAUCUGGCAUGUCCAGUGACGAGAGAUCAGAGACAGAUUUCAGCUAGAGCUUUGAUGCCUGCCCCUCGGCAUCAAGUAAUUCUCGCUCAAGUUCAGUACGUGCUCAAUCAAGAUUCAGUCCUUCAUCAAGAAAAAGUUCACCAAAACAUGCUGAAAUGUCUACAUCCAGCAAUACAUCAAGUAGCAGAGGUGAAAUGAAGCUAGAUGAUACUGAUUUCGCCAAUUUUGAGCUUUGUUUCCAAAGAGGGAAACCAAUGUUACUGGACUCGUGAUGAUCUUUUAUUUUAUAGUUUUUAAUUUUGAUCCUUGGUUUGAGCUUGAUAUAGAA